GAUGAAGCCCAGUGAAUUCAUAGUCUAGAAUGGGAACAAUAUAGAAUGUGAUAGUUUCACAUGGUUUCCAUCCAGGACAAGGUACGACUUCAAACUGCAAACUGCCAGGAGCCAAAUCAAAGAAAGGAUUUCAUAAAACCAUCAUGGGCUUGGCAAAACUUCCAGGCAGAAGUCAGAAUAUGGACAUGCCAGAGGUCUGGUGUCGAAGAGAAGUGAGCAAAAGCCAGCUGGACAGGACGAGAGGAGCUGCCUGACAUGGACGAGCUGCCUCCCUUAAGGUGGAGCCUUGCAAUCUAAAUCCAUGAUCUAGAUGCAUUUUUAAAUGAAAAAAAAC
Molecule: long non-coding RNA, 334 nt
Filed under: Homo sapiens (human)
Lineage: Eukaryota; Metazoa; Chordata; Mammalia; Primates; Hominidae
Description: HSALNT0248033
Source: RNAcentral